GCGCCCCUACGGGGCGCAGCAGUGGGGAAUAUUGCACAAUGGGGGAAACCCUGAUGCAGCGACGCCGCGUGAGUGAAGAAGUAAUUCGUUAUGUAAAGCUCUAUCAGCAGGGAAGAAAAUGACGGUACCUGAGUAAGAAGCCCCGGCUAACUACGUGCCAGCAGCCGCGGUAAUACGUAGGGGGCAAGCGUUAUCCGGAUUUACUGGGUGUAAAGGGAGCGUAGACGGCAGUGCAAGUCUGGAGUGAAAGCCCGGGGCCCAACCCCGGGACUGCCCUUGGAACUGCAUGGCUGGAGUGCGGGAGG
Molecule: ribosomal RNA, 305 nt
Filed under: uncultured bacterium
Lineage: Bacteria
Description: bacterial SSU rRNA
Rfam family: Bacterial small subunit ribosomal RNA
Source: RNAcentral